Molecule: ribosomal RNA, 460 nt
Filed under: uncultured bacterium
Lineage: Bacteria
Description: partial 16S ribosomal RNA
Rfam family: Bacterial small subunit ribosomal RNA
Source: RNAcentral
CCUACGGGGUGCAGCAGUGAGGAAUAUUGGUCAAUGGACGAGAGUCUGAACCAGCCAAGUAGCGUGAAGGAUGACUGCCCUAUGGGUUGUAAACUUCUUUUAUAUGGGAAUAAAACGUUCCACGUGUGGGAUUUUGUAUGUACCAUAUGAAUAAGGAUCGGCUAACUCCGUGCCAGCAGCCGCGGUAAUACGGAGGAUCCGAGCGUUAUCCGGAUUUAUUGGGUUUAAAGGGAGCGUAGGUGGAUUGUUAAGUCAGUUGUGAAAGUUUGCGGCUCAACCGUAAAAGUGCAGUUGAAACUGGCAGUCUUGAGUACAGUAGAGGUGGGCGGAAUUCGUGGUGUAGCGGUGAAAUGCUUAGAUAUCACGAAGAACUCCGAUUGCGAAGGCAGUUCACUGGACUGCAACUGACACUGAGGCUCGAAAGUGUGGGUAUCAAACAGGAUUAGAUACCCGGGUAGUC